UGCGGCACUCUUUCUGCUUCUCUCGGGUGGAUCUCUAGAAUUCUCCUUUGGUUUCCGUCACCCAACCAAUUCAUCAGACUCAUCAUUACACCCCACUAAUUGCUCUCUCAGUCUCUCCCACGCCUCAUUUACUCUCUCAUUACACUCAAAUUUUGGAUUUUUCAAGAAAGGCAGUCUGUGCUGCUUCUUCUGUUCUGAUUUGAAGAAGAUUUCUCAAGCGGCUAUAAUUUCAUGGUAGGUUGGUUUAAAGCCCUAAAUUUGGGAUCGUUUGGGAUAUUUUUAGGUUUUUCUGUCCCUGACAAAUCUUGGCUCGCUAAAAAAAACCGGAAGCAGUUUAAGCUUCUUCAGCCUUUUGAUUUGGAUUGAAGAUGAUUUUUAGCCAAAAAGGCUAAUGUUUUCUGUUUUAGAAGACGGUCAUGUUGGAAUUUUGGGGCUUUCGUAUGCAACGUUGGAACCACUUUGUGCUCAAGGUAUAUAAUAAGGUAUGUAGCCUCAUUAUUACACCUUAUCUUAUCUUCUGUUGAUACGAAUUUUGUUGGUUUUUCGAUUUUAUCAGGGUCCCUUUUUUUAAAGUCUGGCGUUCGUUGGUGAGUUUUUCUACUUUUUUAGUACUUUUUUGCAGAUAUAGCCUACAAAUGUUGUCCCGAAGGUUGGACAUAAUCAUUACUUCCUAUUACAAUCAUUAAAGUUAAUUCAAUUAACUAAAGUUGAUUUGAAUGUGAUGAUGAUGGAGAUAUUUGCUUAGGUGAUAGAAUCUCGCUGACAACUUUCGAUAUUCAGAUGGAAUUUGCGUAUGAAUUUUGUUUAUCUAAUUUAGAGUGUUCUGUUUAUAUCGUUAGAUUCGUCACCUGAGUGUAUGAUUUGCUUAUGUUUUUUGUUUCAGGAGAUGUUGCUCUACAUUUCUUCGGGCUUUUGUGUGCAGUUUUCGAAACCCUUUGUGCUCAAGUAAAAUCACGGAUUUACCCCUUCUGUAUGAGUGUCCGUCGUCGUAGAAAGGAAGGGGACGGGUGGCACUCUUCUUCUGCUUCUCUCAGGUUGAAGCAAAUUUCUCAAGCAGCUAUAAUUUCAAGGAUUUCUUGAGUCGAAUAACAACCUGGGUGAUCAAAAGGAAAAAAAAGCAUUUAGUCUCUGCUUGCAAGGUGACUUAUUUUCAUGUCUGUCCUCCCUCUAAGUCAACUGAGGAUUCAAAUCUAGCGGGGCCAGCUCAAGAUAUAGAUAAAACAAUUUCAAGUCUUUAAAAGAGGGUGAAAGUUGCAUUCUUCACAAAGGCAAAAUAAAGAACAGAUUCUACUUCAUAUGAAAAGAAGAGAACAAUGUGUUUGUACGCUUCUGAUUAAACACAAAAAGGAGUCCUUCAACGUGGAACAUGAAGAUGUAAUUGAAGUUUCUAUAGAAGUUACUAUAUACUUAAUUAACAAUGACAAUGAUGUAUCCCUUCACAUUGCAAAGCUCAUCCCCUCCGUUAGCAAUUCUGGACAAUUUGAGCUUGCUCUAAGGUUCUUACAGAACAUGCUAGGUCACUGGCGAAUUGCAGGUGCAGUUGUGACUGCCGGAGGUGCAGGUGUUAUUGCUAGAGUUGCAAGUGUUGUUCCAAAUAUGGCUAUCAAAGUUUCUCCCCUGGACUUUCUUGUGGCCCAAGGUCGUCGUAUUCGACGUAUGUCUAUGUUGUUACUGAAGCCAUCCAACUCGGCGCUAUACCAUACGAAGAUGUAUGGAAUUACAUGUCAGACACUGGCAAUCGCUUUGAGACUAUGACCCAUAGUGUAAUAGAGAAGGAUCUGGCCUCAGUCGAGCCUUUGAAUAAUGGUUAACACCAGAUGAUUUGAUGCUUUUUAUGUUUGUGUCUAGAAUCUCAAAAUUGAGUUUUUGAUAUGUUUACUUAGUUUAGAAACUAAAUUCUUUAAUGUGUUUAGAACUCAGGUUUAGAACCCAAGUCUUUGAUCUAUUUACUUUGUUGGGCCACUGUUGACCGCUUCCAAACUAUGAUUGGGGUUUGAGGAUGAGGUUACACCCUUGUUCUUGCUCUUGAUUAUGGUCGAGGUUUGAGAUAUUGAUGUAAUUAUUUGCGUUGUAUAUGUUUAGAAACUGCUGCUGUGUUGCAUCUGCUUAUAAUACAGGUCUUAUAUCUGUUUUGGCAUGGUAUGGGUUGAAGUAGCCUCUUUGAAAUAACACUGUUUAGUGAAUCGGAUUUUUAGCAUGUUGAUUCUCCUAAAGUGCAAGUAUUUGAUUAAUUGUAGAACUUAUGGGACCAGUAAUUCAUUGUUAAAAAAACACAGCCAAAACACAAGUUCUAAUUGCUUCCCUUUUAUAUGACCUUCAAGUUAUCAAAACAUGUUAUGUCCACAGGUUAAUAUCGAUUGAAACUGGGGAAGAUGCAGGGAGACAUGCUAUGUCCAAAUGUCCAUUAAACCUAGAGUUAGAGUCCCCCUUCUACAACCAUUUAACACGGGAAUGCUGUCGCCAGAACAAUUUGUCUCUUGCCUCCAACUUAUCAAUUAGACCAGAGAGAGAUCGAGUCUCCUUAACAUUCGCCUCCCAAUUGUUUUGAAGCUGCUCAAACUGAUUUAUUUGAGCCCCAAUCUCCUCUCGGUCACCACGAAACCUUUGCCUACUCCAAUUCAAAAGGCUUCCUUUACAUGAAUUUAGGCGUCGCAACCACUAUCAACAUGGGUCCUCACACCAUUAAUUCUCACUUCGCUGAAUUACCUCCCGACAGCCAUCCUUAAUUGGCCAAAAAACCUCAAAUCUAAAUAAUUUUUUCCUUUUAGCAUUCGAAGGCUCCGUGUUGAUAAUAAUAUGGCAAUGGCCAGAUCCCCUCACGGUGCCAUGGGUGACCCAGGUUGAGGGCCAUCAAACCUGCCAGCAAUCAUUGGCAAGGCCACGGUCAAGCCUUUCUUGCACAAGACUGUUAUUCCUAGUACCUCUCUCCAAGUAUAUUUCGGCCCACGCCAAGGUCAAUCAGCUUCAUAUUUGUCAUGAAUUCAUGUAGGAAGCGUGGUCUAGUAUGGAAAUCAUCACAACCUCCCGUUUUCUCAAAUUCCCACAAUAUCUCAUUUAAGUCACCCCCGCAAAACCAUGGACACUCUGCAGACACCAAAAUCGUAGUGAGCUAGUUCCAAAACUCCAUCUUUUCUACGCGAUAUGGAUUUCCAUAAAUCCAAGAUGCUUGGAUCCAAUCACGAUUCCCAAAUUCCCUCAUGGAUGUAUGAAUAAUAUUUUUUGUUGACAACAAAACCUGAAUUUUAAUUGGCUCGUGCCACCAUAAGCUCAGUCUUUCAACCGCUCCAAUUGGAGGGACAUUAAACCCCCAACUAUAUCACAUCAUCCUUCUUACUCCUUCUAAUCUAUGGCAUUGCAUCUUAGUCUCUGAUAGAAACACCACAUAGGGUCUAUGCAUUCUUAUGAGACUGUGUAGAGCUCGAACCCGAGACCAGGACAGUUCCAUGAUAAGUUAAUCGUGGUGAUUUUGCAGCUGAUUUAGGCCAGCCGCCACCACCUGGGAUUGUUUCCUCGCACUUCGCGCAUUGAGCACCUCUAUAUCAACUUUCACAGCACCAUCUAAAUAAUCUCAGAUGUUAUCGUCCUCUGUAAUUGGUUCAUCUUAAAGCUCCUCAUCCACUAAGAUAACCUUCUCCAUCGAGGACCAUUAUUCCCACAGGGCAUUCCAUCAAAACGACUUCUCUUUCUACCCCCACGAACCCCUAAGCAACCUCCUGACUUUGGUUUCUUCCCCGGCCUUUGCAACUCAGAGAGUCCCUUAUUCUUUCCAAGGUUUCUCUUCAGCCCCAAGUCUUCGAAGAUGUUUCUAGGCAAUGGAGAGCUAGAGUCCAUUGUGAUAUUGUUAUCUAUCGUGGCAUGAGACAGAGAUGUGGAAAGAUCUACAAAGAUCCCAGCCCAUUUGGGCUAUCAAGUUGGCCCUCAAUUAAUAAUUUAUCCCACAUCCAGGGCCUAUCGUGUAUUAUGGGCCUAUUCAAAUCACUACUCUCGUCCAGCUCUUAUAUGAUCACCCUUCUCCAUUUUGCUUAGUGUCAAGGAUCUAGAUGGAAAUUAUGGUUGUCCCUGUAGCCCUUUCUUUCCACCAAGAAUUUCUUUUCCUUUAUGUGGGAUUAAUCCACCAAUUGUCACCUUCAGAAUUCUUUAUGCUCUCUGCUGCAAAAGCUGCAUUCGGUCUCGCAUCUCUCGCAUUCGGUCGCGCAUUCCCUCUCGCAUUCGUAACUAACUGCCGUUCUUAUCUUUGAACUUAUCAGUUGGGAUUCGAAGGAAUAGAUUUUGUGCAACGACAUUGGAAAAACUAAGUUCAUCUUCACAAGGCAGAACGUUUUGGCGGGAAUUUGCACGGAUAUAUAUACAUGUAGGAAGCCUGCUUUUAAAGGAAGGGAUUUUCAUAUUUUUUUUAUGAAAAUGGGGAUUAGUUGUGAGUCCACAUUACAUCGAAUUUUAAUGAUCCGAACCGUCUAUUUAAGGAAAAUUAGAAUGUCCCACUCUUUUUCUACCUUUUGUGUCUUUUAAAGAUUUGAUCAAAUUGCUUGGACUAAUGGCCACCUAAGCAUUUUAAAAUUAUUUUUAUUUACAUAUCAUUAGUUUAUUUCUUUUAAAUGAAAAAUGUUAUAUGUUGAUUUCCCA
Molecule: long non-coding RNA, 4623 nt
Organism: Pyrus x bretschneideri (Chinese white pear)
Lineage: Eukaryota; Viridiplantae; Streptophyta; Magnoliopsida; Rosales; Rosaceae
Exons: 7
Source: RefSeq, a predicted model, not a curated record